RNAcentral lists this long non-coding RNA (266 nucleotides) under Phoenix dactylifera (date palm). RNAcentral's name for it is "long non-coding RNA (PDAC_LNC014137)". Lineage: Eukaryota; Viridiplantae; Streptophyta; Magnoliopsida; Arecales; Arecaceae. The record is from RNAcentral.
GAGAUCGGUGCUCUAACUUAUUAUCUUACCGACCCUCGACUUCGCGUCCUAGCCUUUGGGCUGCUUGAUAAAGACAUGCUUUUCGGCUGUGUUUUGCUCUUCUUUCCCUUAGCUUGUUUAAGUGUCCAACAAAUUCCACCAAGUGUUGGAGCUCGGAUUUUAGAGCUCACAGGGGUUGUUGGGCUCGGUUUUUGGAUUCUUGAGGCACCAAGUUCGGGCCUCAGACCCCCGGAAAGGGGCCUUAUCAGACUUGUAUAAGUCAUUAU